Molecule: ribosomal RNA, 165 nt
Filed under: uncultured bacterium
Lineage: Bacteria
Description: partial 16S rRNA
Rfam family: Bacterial small subunit ribosomal RNA
Source: RNAcentral
UGGGGAAUCUUCCGCAAUGGACGAAAGCCUGACGGAGCAACGCCGCGUGAGUGAUGAAGGUCUUCGGAUUGUAAAGCUCUGUUAAUCGGGACGAAAGAACGAUGUGCGAAUAGUGCAUUGAAGUGACGGUACCGGAAUAGAAAGCCACGGCUAACUACGUGCCAG